AUAUUCGGGAUGCAUUUCUGAGACAGCUGAAGGAUUAGAAGGGUCUCUAAAGCGACGCCAUGGUUGCUGAUUUUCUACUGGACAGCAACGAGAAGGAAACAUCGACGUCCACACCGUUAAAACACGGGACGCAGAGGCUCGCGUGAGCUGGGGGAUGCCCAAGAAGAGAACCAGGAGGCCGGAUGAUCCACGCCAACAUGUUUACCUUCAACAGCCAUUAUUUUUAUUUCUGUAAUAAAUACAUUUUCUAAUAAAAGUAAAUGUA
Molecule: long non-coding RNA, 265 nt
Organism: Notolabrus celidotus (New Zealand spotty)
Lineage: Eukaryota; Metazoa; Chordata; Actinopteri; Labriformes; Labridae
Exons: 2
Source: RefSeq, a predicted model, not a curated record